This 471-nucleotide ribosomal RNA is filed under the name uncultured bacterium. RNAcentral describes it as "bacterial SSU rRNA". It matches the Rfam family "Bacterial small subunit ribosomal RNA", at positions 1031 to 1501 of the family's 1533-position model. The record is from RNAcentral.
GAGACAGGUGCUGCAUGGCUGUCGUCAGCUCGUGUUGUGAAAUGUUGGGUUAAGUCCCGCAACGAGCGCAACCCUUAUCCUUUGUUGCCAGCACGUAAUGGUGGGAACUCAAAGGAGACUGCCGGUGAUAAACCGGAGGAAGGUGGGGAUGACGUCAAGUCAUCAUGGCCCUUACGAGUAGGGCUACACACGUGCUACAAUGGCGUAUACAAAGGGAAGCGACCUCGCGAGAGCAAGCGGAACUCACAAAGUACGUCGUAGUCCGGAUUGGAGUCUGCAACUCGACUCCAUGAAGUCGGAAUCGCUAGUAAUCGUAGAUCAGAAUGCUACGGUGAAUACGUUCCCGGGCCUUGUACACACCGCCCGUCACACCAUGGGAGUGGGUUGCAAAAGAAGUAGGUAGCUUAACCUUCGGGAGGGCGCUUACCACUUUGUGAUUCAUGACUGGGGUGAAGUCGUAACAGGGUAACC